UACGUAGGGUGCAGGCGUUAAUCGGAAUUACUGGGCGUAAAGCGUGCGCAGGCGGUUCUAUAAGACAGAUGUGAAAUCCCCGGGCUCAACCUGGGAACUGCAUUUGUGACUGGCAAGCUAGAGUAUGGCAGAGGGGGGUAGAAUUCCACGUGUAGCAGUGGAAUGCGUAGAGAUGUGGAGGAAUACCGAUGGCGAAGGCAGCCCCCUGGACCAAUACUGACGCUCAUGCACGAAAGCGUGGGGAGCAAACAGG
This 253-nucleotide ribosomal RNA is filed under the name uncultured bacterium. Its description in RNAcentral is "partial 16S ribosomal RNA". It matches the Rfam family "Bacterial small subunit ribosomal RNA", at positions 524 to 776 of the family's 1533-position model. The record is from RNAcentral.